GCGGCAAAGCAACGCUACACUUCUCCUCUCUCUGAUUUUCAAAAAUCCCUCCAGCCUAGCAUUCACGUAAUCUCUCUCUUGAUUAGGGUUUCCAAUUUUUUCGAUCGCAUCCAACAUCGGAGUUUUGGAAGUCAAAAUCGCAACCGCAAAUUUAAUUCCGAUGACGACCAUCACCACUGUUUCUUCUCCCUUUUUCUUGUUAGAGACUCCUCCGUCUCCACCUAGGAUCCUCGUCGUUUCUGUCGAACACUGUUACCGCAUGAUUCCUCGCAACUGACUUUUAGAUUUCAAUAUUUUUAGUUCUUCUUCAAAUUUCGCUACUCCAUCAAUAAAGAUUGUUGCUUCUUCUUCUCCAUCUUUUCUGUUGGAGACUCCUCCGACCCCACCGAGGAUCGUUGCCGUUUUCGUUGAAGACGAUUAUCGUUGAUACCUCAAGAUCUGCAUUCCGCUUUCAAUGAUUCCGCUUCCUCUUCCUCUUCCUCUUCCUCUUCCUCUUCCUCUGAGGAGUCGUUUUCUCGUAGAAGAAGGCGAAAUUUUAUUGAAUCUAUUCUCAGGAGAACGAAGCUUCGUCUUGAUAAAUAGAGAGCGCGGGCAAAAUCUCAAACUCAACCACAAGAGGAAAUUUCGCAUUCUCAUGUCCAUGAGGCCUCCCAGAAAAUAAAAGCAUGUUUCUUCCUUGAAAAGAAUUCCUCUCACGUAUUAUUUGGAGAAUGGUAUAGGUGCCUCCCUGUGGGUAAUGUUUCUCAGGUUUCUCUUUGGUUUUGGUCAAUCAAUGGAAACAACAAGUCGAAUGAUGUAGAAUCUACAUGGACCAAGAUGUUAUAAGCGGCAGAUACAUAUGCCAGCCCUCCGUUCUGUUCCAAGAUGAAUGGAUAUUAUUGAUAAAACAGAUUUGUAGAUGUUGUACUUCUGGAGUCAGGGGACCCUCCAUCAAGUUCAAGUUUCAUUCUCUUGGUGGGUUUGAGAUGUUAAAUAUGCAUCAUCUGCUGGCACCUUUAUUACAGGUUUGAAGACAUGCAGCUACACCAUUAUCUGUGAGGUUGUGCUUUCUCUCCGACAGAACAUAUGCAUAUCCUUCAAUUCCUUGUGCCAGAGUAAGGAAAUGAAUACAGAAGCUGCUAAAGCCUCGGAAAUUCAAUUGGUCAAAGCAUAUUUGGCACUGCUCUACUCCAGGGAAUACUCUGUGAGGUCGUGCUUUCUAUCCGACAGAACAUAUGCAUAUCCUUCAAUUCCUUGUGCCAGAGUAAGGAAAUGAAUACAGAAGCUGCUAAAGCCUCGGAAAUUCAAUUGGUCAAAGCAUAUUUGGCACUGCUCUACUCCAUGGAAUACUCUGUGAGGUCGUGCUUUCUCCCCGACAGAACAUAUGCAUAUCCUUCAAUUCCUUGUGCCAGAGUAAGGAAAUGAAUACAGAAGCUGCUAAAGCCUCGGAAAUUCAAAGAUCUUUCUGGUCAUUAUUGAAUGGAAGUGGUUAUUCACACAAAGGAAUGAGACUUUCAAAAAGGGAAUGGCUACUUUUGAGCGUGUAUGACUGCAUCUUUCUCCACUAGUAGGAACUCCUUUCUCUGUGUUCCAAGGGCCUGGGUCUCUUAUGCAUGGGAGUGCAAAUCACAUUUCGCAUCUCUUGUGGAUGACAAGGGAUGCUCUUAGUCUAGUGAAAUUCUAAUGCAGAAAAAAUUCACCAUCAGAACAAGCUAUUACACCACCCUAAUAUAUAUAUAUAUUAGGUUGUGUGUUUUGUUUUCUUUUUCUUUGAAGAAAACCAAAAAUAAUCUUGAUUAUCAAUUUGAAUA
Populus nigra (black poplar) is the source of this 1790-nucleotide long non-coding RNA. RefSeq lists it as uncharacterized. The transcript is spliced from 2 exons. NCBI's taxonomy places the organism in Eukaryota, Viridiplantae, Streptophyta, Magnoliopsida, Malpighiales, Salicaceae. The record is from RefSeq and is a predicted model, not a curated record.